UACGUAGGGUGCGAGCGUUGUCCGGAUUUAUUGGGCGUAAAGAGCUCGUAGGCGGUUUGUCGCGUCGAAUGUGAAAACCCGGGGCUCAACCCCGGGCCUGCAUUCGAUACGGGCAGACUAGAGUUCGGUAGGGGAGUCUGGAAUUCCUGGUGUAGCGGUGGAAUGCGCAGAUAUCAGGAAGAACACCAACGGCGAAGGCAGCUCGCUGGGACGGUACUGACGCUGAGACGCGAAAGCGUGGGGAGCGAACAGG
RNAcentral lists this ribosomal RNA (253 nucleotides) under uncultured bacterium. RNAcentral describes it as "partial 16S ribosomal RNA". It matches the Rfam family "Bacterial small subunit ribosomal RNA", at positions 524 to 776 of the family's 1533-position model. The record is from RNAcentral.